Molecule: ribosomal RNA, 458 nt
Filed under: Granulicatella adiacens
Lineage: Bacteria; Bacillati; Bacillota; Bacilli; Lactobacillales; Carnobacteriaceae
Description: bacterial SSU rRNA
Rfam family: Bacterial small subunit ribosomal RNA
Source: RNAcentral
GACGAACGCUGGCGGCGUGCCUAAUACAUGCAAGUCGAACGAGAGCGACCGGUGCUUGCACUGGUCAAUCUAGUGGCGAACGGGUGAGUAACACGUGGGUAACCUGCCCAUCAGAGGGGGAUAACAUUCGGAAACGGAUGCUAAAACCGCAUAGGUCUUCGAACCGCAUGGUUUGAAGAGGAAAAGAGGCGCAAGCUUCUGCUGAUGGAUGGACCCGCGGUGCAUUAGCUAGUUGGUGAGGUAACGGCUCACCAAGGCCGUGAUGCAUAGCCGACCUGAGAGGGUGAUCGGCCACAUUGGGACUGAGACACGGCCCAAACUCCUACGGGAGGCAGCAGUAGGGAAUCUUCCGCAAUGGACGCAAGUCUGACGGAGCAACGCCGCGUGAGUGAAGAAGGAUUUCGGUUCGUAAAACUCUGUUGUUAGAGAAGAACAGCGCAUAGAGUAACUGUUAUGCG